AUAUAUAUAUAUUGGAGGAGAGGCUUACUCUCAAAACGCAUCUCGAUCUCAUCAUCGACUGCUCGUUCUGAGUAGGUAUGGAACUGAAACCGACAGUUGCUUUGAGAGCUCUCCUAGCAAUGGGAAUAGCUGUUUUCACCAAGGUGGGUGCAGCAACGAAGGCUGCUGGCGGCAUAAAAGUAGGAGCAGCUGUGGCGGCCGUUUCGGCUGCUGCAACAGCGGCAACCACGGGAACCAAGCACCAAACCGAAGCUUCCAAGCCAACCUAAAAGCUAUGCUGUUCAGAAUGCUGGAUCGCCGGAAGAAGCAUGCAAAAGCCAAUAAUUUGAACCGGCCGUGUGUUCCGAGAAAAGUAACUUGACUGAGCGUAAUAUAAUUUUUGGCUUCUUCUUAGUAGAGAAGACCUAAUGGCAAAUUGUUUUCAUUUGGUAAGUUUUUUGUUUCUGGAUACUGGUUGAAGUGUUUUUGGGCGUUUUCACAGGAAUAAGUUAUAUAUUGUGAAUAGGCGUGGGAGAUUUUGCACAGCCAAAGUUUGUUGAGUUCCUUCCAUACAUUUCUGCGUUUUGGUUUCACCCUAUUAUUGUUUCUUUUGACUGAAUUUUUUUCGUGCAGAGAUCAUAUUGUUUGUUAUAUAUCUAUAGAGGAGUUUGCAUAGGAUCCGGUGGUGGAUCCAUCCAUAAUUCCUUUCCUUUCCUAAUCGGACAAACUUUGACUUCAGGAGGGCUUGACAGUUGGAUAUUUUAUUA
This is a long non-coding RNA of Musa acuminata AAA Group (dessert banana), 746 nucleotides long. RefSeq lists it as uncharacterized. The record is from RefSeq and is a predicted model, not a curated record. NCBI's taxonomy places the organism in Eukaryota, Viridiplantae, Streptophyta, Magnoliopsida, Zingiberales, Musaceae. The transcript has 3 exons.